CAAACUCGAUUGGGUCUGUGAGCCCUAGAAGCUGGGGUGGAACUCCUCGGAAAGCCCUGGUUCCUGUGGAAAGGAAUCAAGGGGUUAUCCGCUUGCAGGGUGUUUUGAGGCUGGUGGCUGGAGAAUUGCAUUAACAGGUGGAGGUUAGAGAAGAACCUCCUGAAGUCAUCUGUCCUUCCACCAGGUGGUGGAUCCCAGGUCAUCAGGCUUAGAACCAGGCAUCUUUACCUGCUGGACCAUCUCACCAGCCUUUCAUCAUCGGAUGUGCAAUUUAUGACAACCAGAAGUUCCUGUGAUCAUGACCUACAACUCCUUCACUUGAAGUUGACACCCAUUGGCUGCUCUGCUACAUGGAGUUCUACACCAUUGCCUAAGUUCCUGGAUAAAGGUGCCACAUGAAGUUUUCAGAGAAAGCAGAACCUCUUAGAAAUCUGAAAGACAGCAAUCCUUAUUACCAUCAAGACAACACAAAGCUGAUUGAACUGGAUGGCCAGAGGAGGCUUGUAUCCUGGAGGCUUUGAAAAGGUUCAAAGUAGACACCAUAGUUCAGUGACCAUGUUCCCAGCCCUCAGCAAAUGAACCCCACUGGCUGCUCUUCUCCUAGCCUCCAUCAUGCUUCUGGAUGCUCACACACUCUGGCUCUACAAUCAACCAUGGUCUACAGAUUUCCUUGGAGCUGUGAGGACCCUUCUUAUCAGUUCAUUUCAGUG
Long non-coding RNA from Peromyscus eremicus (cactus mouse), 710 nucleotides. RefSeq lists it as uncharacterized. The record is from RefSeq and is a predicted model, not a curated record. Lineage: Eukaryota; Metazoa; Chordata; Mammalia; Rodentia; Cricetidae. The transcript has 6 exons.